UAUCCCCUGCGGUGUUCGAGGAUAGAUCUGAAUAUUUCUUGAGCCAUACUAACGUCCAGGGAACUGCCUGUCGGCAUCAGUGUGCAUGUCCGCUCGACGGAAAGCCUGAGAUAUCGACCAAGUUCCCACCUGAACUUCUGGUUCAAGGACGACGAUCUGUUACGGCACAGGCGGGGGAUAC
This 181-nucleotide non-coding RNA is filed under the name Gammaproteobacteria bacterium. RNAcentral's name for it is "6S RNA". It matches the Rfam family "6S / SsrS RNA". Rfam says of the family: E. coli 6S RNA was the first non coding RNA to be sequenced, but its function was unknown until recently. Lineage: Bacteria; Pseudomonadati; Pseudomonadota; Gammaproteobacteria. The record is from RNAcentral.